GAGCGCGUUGUUAGCAAUUAUACCGUGAAACUGCGAAUGGCUCAUUAAAUCAGUUAUCGUUUAUUUGAUAAUACCUUACUACUUGGAUAACCGUGGUAAUUCUAGAGCUAAUACAUGCUGAAAAUCCCGACUUCGGAAGGGAUGUGUUUAUUAGAUAAAAAACCAAUGCCCUUCGGGGCUUUUUGGUGAUUCAUGAUAACUUUACGGAUCGCAUAGCCUUGCGCUGGCGACGGUUCAUUCAAAUUUCUGCCCUAUCAACUUUCGAUGGUAAGGUAUUGGCUUACCAUGGUUUCAACGGGUAACGGGGAAUUAGGGUUCGAUUCCGGAGAGGGAGCCUGAGAAACGGCUACCACAUCCAAGGAAGGCAGCAGGCGCGCAAAUUACCCAAUCCCGACACGGGGAGGUAGUGACAAUAAAUACUGAUACAGGGCUCUUUUGGGUCUUGUAAUUGGAAUGAGUACAAUUUAAACCUCUUAACGAGGAACAAUUGGAGGGCAAGUCUGGUGCCAGCAGCCGCGGUAAUUCCAGCUCCAAUAGCGUAUAUUAAAGUUGUUGCAGUUAAAAAGCUCGUAGUUGAAACUUGGGCCUGGCUGGCGGGUCCGCCUCACCGCGUGCACUCGUCCGGCCGGGCCUUCCUUCUGAAGAACCUCAUGCCCUUCACUGGGCGUGCUGGGGAAUCAGGACUUUUACUUUGAAAAAAUUAGAGUGUUCAAAGCAGGCCUUUGCUCGAAUACGUUAGCAUGGAAUAAUAAAAUAGGGCGUGCGUUUCUAUUUUGUUGGUUUCUAGAGACGCCGCAAUGAUUAACAGGAACAGUCGGGGGCAUCAGUAUUCAGUUGUCAGAGGUGAAAUUCUUGGAUUUACUGAAGACUAACUACUGCGAAAGCAUUUGCCAAGGAUGUUUUCAUUAAUCAGUGAACGAAAGUUAGGGGAUCGAAGACGAUCAGAUACCGUCGUAGUCUUAACCGAAACUAUGCCGACUAGGGGAUCGGGCGAUGUUCUUUUUCUGACUCGCUCGGACCUUACGAGAAAUCAAAGUUUUUGGGGUUCUGGGGGGGAUUAAGGGCCCAAG
RNAcentral lists this ribosomal RNA (1070 nucleotides) under Colletotrichum truncatum. RNAcentral's name for it is "SSU rRNA". It matches the Rfam family "Eukaryotic small subunit ribosomal RNA", at positions 59 to 1135 of the family's 1831-position model. The record is from RNAcentral. Lineage: Eukaryota; Fungi; Ascomycota; Sordariomycetes; Glomerellales; Glomerellaceae.